AGCUCCAAUAGCGUAUAUUUAAGUUGUUGCAGUUAAAAAGCUCGUAGUUGGAUUUCGGUUGAAAGCAGGCGGUCUGCCUUUGGUAUGCACUGCUUGGUUUCAACUUCCUGCGGAGGACGCGCUCUGGGCUUAACGGUCUGGACGCGGAGUCCGCGUGGUUACUUUGAAAAAAUUAGAGUGUUCAAAGCGGGCUUACGCUUGAAUAUUUCAGCAUGGAAUAACACUAUAGGACUCCUGUCCUAUUUCGUUGGUCUCGGGACGGGAGUAAUGAUUAAGAGGAACAGUUGGGGGCAUUCGUAUUUCAUUGUCAGAGGUGAAAUUCUUGGAUUUAUGAAAGACGAACUUCUGCGAAAGCAUUUGCCAAGGAUGUUUUCA
This 375-nucleotide ribosomal RNA is filed under the name uncultured eukaryote. RNAcentral's name for it is "SSU rRNA". It matches the Rfam family "Eukaryotic small subunit ribosomal RNA", at positions 587 to 972 of the family's 1831-position model. The record is from RNAcentral.